Grammomys surdaster is the source of this 428-nucleotide long non-coding RNA. RefSeq lists it as uncharacterized. Lineage: Eukaryota; Metazoa; Chordata; Mammalia; Rodentia; Muridae. The record is from RefSeq and is a predicted model, not a curated record. The transcript is spliced from 2 exons.
CUGAGAUCUUUCAGACACUGAGCCACCAACCAGGAAGCAUACACUAGCAGGCAGCAAGCAAGCUAUGGGCCUCUGCGUGUGCCAGCUCCCAGAUGGUCUUGUUCCUCUUGGAGGCUCAGGCCAGUCAACAUCAGUUCUGGACUCCCUAAGGACAAGAGAAAACAUUGUGUGCUAGAGGCAGGAAGCCUAUUUGCCUCAAUCUCUGGAGAGCAGGGUCUUGACCUUGAUGAAAGUUUGGUUCACCUGUAUAGCUGGGGACAGAAGAAACACCCAGAAAAUCAUGAGCCCCCUAGUCCUGACGGAACCUGUUCAUUUUAAAGAUGGAGAGAUCCUGGCUUAGAAAGAGAUUGGCUCAGAUGGAAUGGCAGUGAUGUUCCCCGGACAUUUAUAGCGAAGCCUGAUCUUAAAUACGUGAUCUCAAACAACAA